Molecule: ribosomal RNA, 252 nt
Filed under: uncultured bacterium
Lineage: Bacteria
Description: partial 16S ribosomal RNA
Rfam family: Bacterial small subunit ribosomal RNA
Source: RNAcentral
UACGUAGGGUGCAAGCGUUAUCCGGAAUUAUUGGGCGUAAAGAGCUCGUAGGCGGUUUGUCGCGUCUGCUGUGAAAACUGGAGGCUCAACCUCCAGCCUGCAGUGGGUACGGGCAGACUAGAGUGCGGUAGGGGAGAUUGGAAUCCUGGUGUAGCGGUGGAAUGCGCAGAUAUCAGGAGGAACACCGAUGGCGAAGGCAGAUCUCUGGGCCGUAACUGACGCUGAGGAGCGAAAGCAUGGGGAGCGAACAGG